UACGGAGGGUCCAAGCGUUAUCCGGAAUCAUUGGGUUUAAAGGGUCCGUAGGCGGUUUUGUAAGUCAGUGGUGAAAGCCCAUCGCUCAACGGUGGAACGGCCAUUGAUACUGCAAGACUUGAAUUACUAGGAAGUAACUAGAAUAUGUAGUGUAGCGGUGAAAUGCUUAGAUAUUACAUGGAAUACCAAUUGCGAAGGCAGGUUACUACUAAUGGAUUGACGCUGAUGGACGAAAGCGUGGGGAGCGAACAGG
Molecule: ribosomal RNA, 253 nt
Filed under: uncultured bacterium
Lineage: Bacteria
Description: partial 16S ribosomal RNA
Rfam family: Bacterial small subunit ribosomal RNA
Source: RNAcentral